UUGCCUGUAGCUCAGAGGAUAGAGCAGCAGCCUUCUAAGCUGUCAGUCGCUGGUUCGAAUUCAGCCAGGUGAGCCA
RNAcentral lists this transfer RNA (76 nucleotides) under Citrobacter freundii. RNAcentral's name for it is "tRNA-Arg". It matches the Rfam family "tRNA". Rfam says of the family: Transfer RNA (tRNA) molecules are approximately 80 nucleotides in length. Their secondary structure includes four short double-helical elements and three loops (D, anti-codon, and T loops). RNAcentral also lists the same sequence under 2 other names. Lineage: Bacteria; Pseudomonadati; Pseudomonadota; Gammaproteobacteria; Enterobacterales; Enterobacteriaceae. The record is from RNAcentral.